GGUAGCGUGGCCGAGCGGUCUAAGGCGCUGGAUUAAAACUCCAGUUUCUUCGGGGUGUGGGUUCGAAUCCCCACCGCUGCCA
This is a non-coding RNA of Alosa alosa (allis shad), 82 nucleotides long. NCBI's taxonomy places the organism in Eukaryota, Metazoa, Chordata, Actinopteri, Clupeiformes, Clupeidae. The record is from the annotation of a RefSeq genome assembly.